CCUACGGGAGGCAGCAGUGAGGAAUAUUGGUCAAUGGACGAGAGUCUGAACCAGCCAAGUAGCGUGAAGGAUGACUGCCCUAUGGGUUGUAAACUUCUUUUAUAUGGGAAUAAAAUGUUCCACGUGUGGGAUUUUGUAUGUACCAUAUGAAUAAGGAUCGGCCAACUCCGUGCCAGCAGCCGCGGUAAUACGGAGGAUCCGAGCGUUAUCCGGAUUUAUUGGGUUUAAAGGGAGCGUAGGUGGAUUGUUAAGUCAGUUGUGAAAGUUUGCGGCUCAACCGUAAAAUUGCAGUUGAAACUGGCAGUCUUGAGUACAGUAGAGGUGGGCGGAAUUCGUGGUGUAGCGGUGAAAUGCUUAGAUAUCACGAAGAACUCGGAUUGCGAAGGCAGUUCACUGGACUGCAACUGACACUGAGGCUCGAAAGUGUGGGUAUCAAACAGGAUUAGAUACCCUAGUAGUC
Molecule: ribosomal RNA, 460 nt
Filed under: uncultured bacterium
Lineage: Bacteria
Description: partial 16S ribosomal RNA
Rfam family: Bacterial small subunit ribosomal RNA
Source: RNAcentral